This is a long non-coding RNA of Ruditapes philippinarum (Manila clam), 680 nucleotides long. RefSeq lists it as uncharacterized. The transcript is spliced from 3 exons. The record is from RefSeq and is a predicted model, not a curated record. Lineage: Eukaryota; Metazoa; Mollusca; Bivalvia; Venerida; Veneridae.
GCAAACAUACCUUUAUCGGGCCGAUAUCGGCUAAAUGUCGGAAUAUCGAAGUCGGCUUUCCGCCGUCGAACCGAUAUAUAUCCGAUAUAGACAAACUUGUUAAAGACAGGAUGAUAUCGUCCGAUAUAGGUCCAAUAUACAUUUAUUUCCUGUUAUUCAAUUAAAUGAGUUUUUUAGUAUAUUCUUCUCAAAUUCAUUUCAGCAAGAAAUCGAUGCUUUUGUAUAGAGUAAUUAAGUCGUUUUCAUAAAAAAACUUCGGUGCUAUAUCGGCUCCAUGUCUGUUGCCGAUUUAGUGUAUAAGUGAUUUGCACAACGUGGUAUUUUUCUAGCACACGUGCCAUCAGAAGAAGUUUGCGCCAAAACUAUAAAAAGUGGAGUUUUUCUCAAAUACUACUGGUAAAACAUCUGUCUGUGACAUGACAAACAUACCUGAAUCAGAGUGCUGACAACUGAAAUAGCUGGUUUUGGAGAAAGAAAAUGUCAUUUUAGAAGCUAAAGAUGACCAAUUGAUGCAAUACAGAGUCCUAGGCAACACUUAGAAUGAAAUGUAGUGAUGAAAAAGAGGGCAACAGUCAUCGAGCUGAAAUUCAAUAGCAGGAAAUAGCUCAUCUGGCAAUGGUGGAAAUAAAGAUCUCUAGAAAACUAAACAAUUGAAGAAGUUCAUAUAUAUCUAACCACAA